This 809-nucleotide long non-coding RNA is filed under the name Bos taurus (domestic cattle). RNAcentral describes it as "long non-coding RNA NONBTAT017439". The record is from RNAcentral. Lineage: Eukaryota; Metazoa; Chordata; Mammalia; Artiodactyla; Bovidae.
AAGAAAAAUGUAGGCCUGCUUAGAGUUUAAAAAGAGGGGAAAUGUUAGCUAUUUUUAAGUGGGGUUGAUGGAAUUUUCUCCGUCACAAAGAAUUCCUUUUUAGCCUAUGUGUGUGGGGAUACGAGGUGUUAGCCAUUCUCUAGUCCUACUGUAUAAUUGAUUGAAUCUACAGGUUUAAUAUUCAGAAAAAGUUGUGAACUCUGCCCUUCACCAACAGUGAACAAGGUCCCUGAUUCAUGGCAUUGCCUCACAGAUACAGGACAAGUAUUCAAAAAUCCAGAUCUUUUAAAAAUGGAAUGAACUCCCAAGAAGCAAGAAUGCCAAGACUGCAUACCUUCUGUAUCUACUUAGUCCUCUGUUUAAUAUCUGUUAUUAAACCUCCUUAGAAUAAAAUCCAUUCCUAUUUUAUCCACCAUUCCCAGUGUGUACCUAUAAUCCUACCUUGGAAGUGGCAAGCUAACUGCUGAUUUACUUCAUUGUUUUAUACCAAUCCUGAAAGACAAGAACUUUUAUUAUCAAUGUAUUUAAACUGAGUUGUUAUAUGUAUAAUUAAUAAUUUGUCUUCAAAAUAUUUCAAAUUAUCAUUAACACUUUUUUGAGUGCCAAGAAUUGCUAAGUAACUAUGUAACAUAUAUGAAGAUAGUCAUCCCCCAGCAAUCAAGCAGUCAUUGUAAGCCAAAAUGUAGUGUACUUGGUAUGUAACUACUCCAGACAGUACACUCAACACUUAAAAUUUCAUGUAAACCCUCUCAGAAAUUGAUUAGAAUACGAUUUCCAUUAGUGAAUUUUUUUCAUUUUGCUCUCGUCAA